GAAAAAUCAAGUCCUCUAAUUCUUCAUUAUUUUUGGUGGUUAUUAAAAAAAAAUGAAUACUAGAAUAAGAGGAAUAUGACUGAUAAGAGGAAUAUUACCCUAUGGCAGUCAUAUUCCUAUUUGCUAUUGACAAACAGCAUCAACAGAUAUAAUUGUUAGCCAACUUACCAGUCACAUGCCUAUAAACAAUUAUAACUAGUUUACAUAUAAAGUUUGUUACAUGAAUAAGCAAUCAUAUAUGGAUGAUACAUGAUUGCACGGAUAAAUAGUAGCUGAAAAGGAAUGAAACACUCUUGUGAGUGUUUUCAAUGUCCCAUUAACCAUCUCUUACAUGUUAACCAUCUCUUACACCCCCACCAAGGAAUCACAAAAAUAAUAUAAUGUUUCAGGGAUCUGUAUCAUAUUUAAGCAAUGCAAAUUAUGUAUCCAUAUAACAUGGCAAAGAAAAAUAUAACUUUCAUUAGUAGAUAUUGAAGAAGGUAGAUAGCAAAACAUAUCUCUGGCAUGCAGAAAGAAACAAAGCAGUACUGUAACAAGUUCAAAUAUUUGUUUCUAAAAAAUAUAUUGAAAUGUAUAAAAAAAAAUUGGAAGAUGAAAUUUGUAAGAUGGUACAACUAAUCUGUUGUGUUUGUUUCCCAACAAUUUUAGAACCUUAUCAUCCUAAUUCAUCUACAAACAGAACAGAGAAAGAAAUGGGACUGCAUACCUUCUCCUUGCACUGGAUAUU
This 727-nucleotide unclassified non-coding RNA is filed under the name Hevea brasiliensis (rubber tree). The record is from RNAcentral. Lineage: Eukaryota; Viridiplantae; Streptophyta; Magnoliopsida; Malpighiales; Euphorbiaceae.